RNAcentral lists this ribosomal RNA (492 nucleotides) under uncultured bacterium. Its description in RNAcentral is "partial 16S ribosomal RNA". It matches the Rfam family "Bacterial small subunit ribosomal RNA", at positions 29 to 507 of the family's 1533-position model. The record is from RNAcentral.
AGUGAACGCUGGCGGUAGGCCUAACACAUGCAAGUCGAACGGCAGCACAGUAAGAGCUUGCUCUUACGGGUGGCGAGUGGCGGACGGGUGAGGAAUACAUCGGAAUCUACUUUUUCGUGGGGGAUAACGUAGGGAAACUUACGCUAAUACCGCAUACGACCUACGGGUGAAAGCAGGGGAUCUUCGUACCUUGCGCGAUUGAAUGAGCCGAUGUCGGAUUAGCUAGUUGGCGGGGUAAAGGCCCACCAAGGCGACGAUCCGUAGCUGGUCUGAGAGGAUGAUCAGCCACACUGGAACUGAGACACGGUCCAGACUCCUACGGGAGGCAGCAGUGGGGAAUAUUGGAAAAUGGGCGCAAGACUGAUCCAGCCAUACCGCGUGGGUGAAGAAGGCCUUCGGGUUGUAAAGCCCUUUUGUUGGGAAAGAAGAGCAGCAGGUUAAUACCCCGCUGUUCUGACGGUACCCAAAGAAUAAGCACCGGCUAACUUCGUG